RNAcentral lists this ribosomal RNA (200 nucleotides) under uncultured organism. RNAcentral describes it as "partial small subunit ribosomal RNA". It matches the Rfam family "Bacterial small subunit ribosomal RNA", at positions 1183 to 1382 of the family's 1533-position model. The record is from RNAcentral.
CGUCAAAUCAUCAUGCCCCUUAUGACCUGGGCUACACACGUGCUACAAUGGGCGGUACAGCGGGUUGCGAAGCCGCGAGGUGGAGCCAAUCCCUAAAAGCCGCUCUCAGUUCGGAUUGCAGGCUGCAACUCGCCUGCAUGAAGCCGGAAUCGCUAGUAAUCGCGGAUCAGCAUGCCGCGGUGAAUACGUUCCCGGGCCUU